This 301-nucleotide ribosomal RNA is filed under the name uncultured bacterium. Its description in RNAcentral is "partial 16S ribosomal RNA". It matches the Rfam family "Bacterial small subunit ribosomal RNA", at positions 509 to 809 of the family's 1533-position model. The record is from RNAcentral.
CAGUCGCCGCGGUAAUACGAAGGGGGCUAGCGUUGCUCGGAAUUAUUGGGCGUAAAGGGCUCGCAGGCGGUUUCUUAAGUCUGAUGUGAAAGCCCCCGGCUCAACCGGGGAGGGUCAUUGGAAACUGGGAAACUUGAGUGCAGAAGAGGAGAGUGGAAUUCCACGUGUAGCGGUGAAAUGCGUAGAGAUGUGGAGGAACACUAGUGGCGAAGGCGACUCUCUGGUCUGUAACUGACGCUGAGGAGCGAAAGCGUGGGGAGCGAACAGGAUUAGAUACCCCCGUAGUCCCUGUCUCUUAUAA